AAAUUACUUCUUGAAUCCAUUCACAGGAAAAUGGGAAUCCAGAGCGUCUCUCAAUGCAAGAGUUCAAGGAGAAUUUCGGUGUUCAAUAACUGGAGAUUCCUGCAGAUGAGGUUUCAUGCGCUUGGCAAUAUGGAGACCAUGUUGCAAAGGAAAAGCAAAAGGAGUUCGGUUGCUUGGAAUUUCUUGGCUGUGGAAAACAUCUUUUAAAGAGAAGUGACUUCAAGGCAGUGUUCUCAAAAGUUACGAAGUUCUAAAUGUGUUUUAGCAACUUUUUUUUUCAACGCAAAGCUCAAAACUGAUUAAUUUAUUUCUGUUCCACUGAAGAGUACAAUAAAUAUGUUAUGGUUCUUAA
Long non-coding RNA from Neofelis nebulosa (Clouded leopard), 352 nucleotides. RefSeq lists it as uncharacterized. The transcript is spliced from 3 exons. Lineage: Eukaryota; Metazoa; Chordata; Mammalia; Carnivora; Felidae. The record is from RefSeq and is a predicted model, not a curated record.